GAUGAAGAACGUAGUGAAAUGCGAUACUUGGUGUCAAUUGCAGAAUCCCGUGAACCAUCGAGUCUUUGAACGCAAGUUGCGCCCGAAGCCAUUAGGCCGAGGGCACGCCUGCCUGGGCGUCACACGUCGUUGCCCCCCCAUCUACUCCUUCGGGAUUGCGGGGGGCGGAUGAUGGCCUCCCGUGCGCCUCGUCGCGCGGUUGGCAUAAAUGCCAAGUCCUCGGCGACGCACGCCACGACAAUCGGUGGUUGCGAAACCUCGGUUGCCCGUCGUGUGCGGUCGUCGCGCAUCGAGGGCUCGAAAAAAUUGUCGGGCUCCGGCUCGGCUUUCAACGCGACCCCAGGUCAGGCGGGGUUACCCGCUGAAUUUAAGCAUAUCAAUAAGCGGAGGA
Molecule: unclassified non-coding RNA, 391 nt
Filed under: soil metagenome
Description: partial contains 5.8S ribosomal RNA, internal transcribed spacer 2, and large subunit ribosomal RNA
Rfam family: 5.8S ribosomal RNA (bases 1-122)
Source: RNAcentral